This 435-nucleotide ribosomal RNA is filed under the name uncultured bacterium. Its description in RNAcentral is "partial 16S ribosomal RNA". It matches the Rfam family "Bacterial small subunit ribosomal RNA", at positions 29 to 507 of the family's 1533-position model. The record is from RNAcentral.
AGCGAACGCUGGCGGCAGGCUUAACACAUGCAAGUCGAACGGGCAUAGCAAUAUGUCAGUGGCAGACGGGUGAGUAACGCGUGGGAACGUACCUUUUGGUUCGGAACAACACAGGGAAACUUGUGCUAAUACCGGAUAAGCCCUUACGGGGAAAGAUUUAUCGCCGAAAGAUCGGCCCGCGUCUGAUUAGCUAGUUGGUAGGGUAAUAGCCUACCAAGGCGACGAUCAGUAGCUGGUCUGAGAGGAUGAUCAGCCACAUUGGGACUGAGACACGGCCCAAACUCCUACGGGAGGCAGCAGUGGGGAAUAUUGGACAAUGGGCGAAAGCCUGAGCCAGCCAUGCCGCGUGAGUGAUGAAGGCCCUAGGGUUGUAAAGCUCUUUUGUGCGGGAAGAUAAUGACGGUACCGCAAGAAUAAGCCCCGGCUAACUUCGUG